UACGUAGGGUGCGAGCGUUGUCCGGAAUUAUUGGGCGUAAAGAGCUUGUAGGCGGUUUGUCGCGUCUGCCGUGAAAUUUCGAGGCUCAACCUCGAACUUGCGGUGGGUACGGGCAGACUAGAGUGUGGUAGGGGAGACUGGAAUUCCUGGUGUAGCGGUGAAAUGCGCAGAUAUCAGGAGGAACACCGAUGGCGAAGGCAGGUCUCUGGGCCACUACUGACGCUGAGAAGCGAAAGCGUGGGGAGCGAACAGG
Molecule: ribosomal RNA, 253 nt
Filed under: uncultured bacterium
Lineage: Bacteria
Description: partial 16S ribosomal RNA
Rfam family: Bacterial small subunit ribosomal RNA
Source: RNAcentral